CGCCGCCGCCCCUUCACGCUCCGCGCCUGCCCUCCGCCCCGUCGCCGCACCUGCUGCGGCCGCGCCUGCUCCGCCCCGCCUCCGCCGCUGCCCCGCCUCCGCCGCUGCCCCUUCACGCCCCCGACACCCUCCACGCCGCCGUGCGCAGAGGCUCGGGACGCCCCCGACCGGCGCCGACGGCCGAGCGGCGCCUCCCGCAGGGGGGCCUGGCCGCGGCAGCACGCCCACGACCGACCGACGCCUCCGCCUGGGAUUGCCGGCGGUGCCCUGGGGUUGGUGUUGGGGUUGCUUACUGCCGACUCCGACGGCGAGGCCUCCGGUCCAGAUGUUGCUGCCUGCUGGACACGCAAACUGAAUUCUCCGAUGUUGCUGCUCUGCUGGCUAGGGAGGGAGUCGAGCGACAUACUGACACAUGACAUUCAAUUAUGAGGAUUGAGGAAAUUAACAUUAUUCAGUCAUCGAGGAUUUGGAAAGGGGCAGUAUUUUGAUCUCCUGGUCAUGGACAUGGAGCCAUGGAUUAUACCAACGAACAUCCUAAAUUGGUCCAACUAUGUGGGAUUGACCCGUUUUGAGCUGGACAAAGUUGAUGUACAUAACUUUUUUUGGGGAAUUCUGAACUGAUGUGUGCCACAACUAGAAUCUUUUAAAAAGAAAGGAAGAUGGAUGUAUCUGGUACUGUCUUCUUUUAUUUAAUUUUUCUCUUUGCAGCCAAGAAGGUAUAAUGCAUCCUUGAGAACUACGGUGAUAAGGACUAAGGUGAAACUGCUGGUUCCAACUUCCAACUUGAUAUGCCUUCCUUUCGAUUUGUUUUACUAUACCCAGCGCAUAAGCAUCAGAGUUUAAGCCGGAGUAGGGGCCUGCUAGAGAUGGAGCUUGUCGUAGAGUAGAGGGAAGGAAACAAAACAUCCACUGUGUCAAUCACUCAAGAUGGAGGUGCAUGCAGUUUUCCUGAAAGUUAAGUCUGAGAGCCUGCUCCUACAUAAAGCUGGGUGACGGGACGAUGGCCAAUUUCUGGGAGGACAAAUGGUUGCCGGGUGGGCGUUCCGUCUAGGACCUGGCACCAACACUGCUCACUUUUGUGCCCAAGAGAUGUCGCACGGUGGCCUACGUCCUGUCCAACAAAAACUGUAUAUCAGAGACAUCAAGGCCUCUCUGAGCCGGCGUUGGCCCAAUAUUUCCUCUGGGACGUUAUCGCAGAGGUGAUCACUUCGCCGGACAUCCCCGACUGCGUGGCUGGGCGAAUGCUGAUUUUCCAAUUCCAGGGGGCGGUUUCACUAGCACGGAGAAGUGGUGGAUCAAAGCAAGAAAAGCUGCGCCCAAAGCCUUUGAGGAAGGAUUUCGACACUAAUGACGAUCCUGGUGCACUAGAGGUUGUGGAAAGAGAGAAACACGAGGAUCUUUAAUGGUGUCUCUAGCUCUGUUCAGAAGGUCUUUGAAGUCAUUCUAUAGGAUUUUAGGAUGUGCCUAGCUGCUGGCUGUUUCUAUCAGUUUGUGUAAUUUCUGCUCCUGUUGUAUUUGUAGUCGUCAGCAACAUCAUCUCCGUGUGGCGGAGCUUCAUGUAACUCUCCUUUUCUAUCUUAAUAAAGAUCGGCCAAUGCCUUUGGAGUUGU
This is a long non-coding RNA of Aegilops tauschii subsp. strangulata, 1610 nucleotides long. RefSeq lists it as uncharacterized. NCBI's taxonomy places the organism in Eukaryota, Viridiplantae, Streptophyta, Magnoliopsida, Poales, Poaceae. The record is from RefSeq and is a predicted model, not a curated record.